RNAcentral lists this ribosomal RNA (513 nucleotides) under uncultured bacterium. Its description in RNAcentral is "partial 16S ribosomal RNA". It matches the Rfam family "Bacterial small subunit ribosomal RNA", at positions 28 to 523 of the family's 1533-position model. The record is from RNAcentral.
GACGAACGCUGGCGGCAUGCCUAAUACAUGCAAGUCGAGCGAACAGAUGAAGUGCUUGCACUUCUGACGUUAGCGGCGAACGGGUGAGUAACACGUAAGGAAUCUACCUAUAAGCGGGGGAUAACAUUCGGAAACGGGUGCUAAUACCGCAUAAUAUCUUCUUCCGCAUGGAAGAAGAUUGAAAGACGGCUCUGCUGUCACUUAUAGAUGACCUUGCGGUGCAUUAGUUGGUUGGUGGGGUAACGGCCUACCAAGACGAUGAUGCAUAGCCGACCUGAGAGGGUGAGCGGCCACAUUGGGACUGAGACACGGCCCAAACUCCUACGGGAGGCAGCAGUAGGGAAUCUUCCGCAAUGGGCGAAAGCCUGACGGAGCAAUGCCGCGUGAGUGAAGAAGGCCUUCGGGUCGUAAAACUCUGUUAUAAGAGAAGAACAAAUUGUAGAGUAACUGCUACAGUCUUGACGGUAUCUUAUCAGAAAGCCACGGCUAACUACGUGCCAGCCGCCGCAGUAA